Molecule: ribosomal RNA, 253 nt
Filed under: uncultured bacterium
Lineage: Bacteria
Description: partial 16S ribosomal RNA
Rfam family: Bacterial small subunit ribosomal RNA
Source: RNAcentral
GACGAACCGUGCGAACGUUGUUCGGAAUCACUGGGCUUAAAGGGCGCGUAGGCGGCUUGCCAAGUCAGUGGUGAAAUCCUCCGGCUUAACCGGAGAAGUGCCAUUGAUACUGGCGAGCUCGAGGGAGGUAGGGGCAGCUGGAACUUCUGGUGGAGCGGUGAAAUGCGUUGAUAUCAGAAGGAACGCCGGUGGCGAAAGCGAGCUGCUGGAUCUCUACUGACGCUGAGGCGCGAAAGCUAGGGGAGCAAACGGG